RNAcentral lists this ribosomal RNA (42 nucleotides) under Diplostomum paracaudum. RNAcentral's name for it is "partial 28S ribosomal RNA". Lineage: Eukaryota; Metazoa; Platyhelminthes; Trematoda; Diplostomida; Diplostomidae. The record is from RNAcentral.
UGACCUCGGAUCAGACGCGAAUACCCGCUGAAUUUAAGCAUA